UUGCACAAUGGGCGAAAGCCUGAUGCAGCGACGCCGCGUGAGGGAUGAAGGUUUUAGGAUCGUAAACCUCUUUUCUUAGGGAAUAGUUUGGAAGGUACCUAAGGAAUAAGUCACGGCUAACUACGUGCCAGCAGCCGCGGUAAUACGUAGGUGGCAAAUGUUGUCCGGAAUCAUUGGGCGUAAAGGGUCCGUAGGUGGCUUGAAAAGUCUUAUGUGAAAUCUCUUGGCUCAACCAAGAAACGCCAUAAGAAACUUUCAUGCUAGAGAUCAUCAGAGGGAGGUAGAAUUCCAGGUGUAGUGGUGAAAUGCGUAGAUAUCUGGAGGAAUACCAAUGGCGAAAGCAGCCUCCUGGGGUGAAUCUGACAUUGAGGGACGAAAGCGUGGGUAGCAAACCGGAUUAGAUACCCGGGUAGUCCAUGCCGUAAACGAUGAAUACUGGGUCUUCGGGGAAUCGACCCCCUGUGGACCGAAGCUAACGCGUUAAGUAUUCCGCCUGGGGAGUACGGUCGCAAGACUAAAACUCAAAGGAAUUGACGGGGGCCCGCACAAGCAGCGGAGCGUGUGGUUUAAUUCGAUGGUAAACGAAGAACCUUACCUAGGUUUGACAUAUAAGUAGUACUGACCCGAAAGGUGAUGGACCCGCAAGGGAGCUUAUACAGGUGCUGCAUGGUUGUCGUCAGCUCGUGCCGUGAGGUGUUGGGUUAAGUCCCGCAACGAGCGCAACCCUCGUGGAUAGUUGUUUUCUUUAUCCAGACUGCUUUUACAAGAGGAAGGUGGGGAUGACGUCAAAUCAUCAUGGCUCUUACACCUAGGGCUACACACACGCUACAAUGGACAGUACAGACGGUUGCUAAGUCGCAAGAUGGAGCCAAUCCGAUAAAGCUGUCCCCAAUUGGGAUUGUAGGCUGAAACUCGCCUGCAUGAACCUGGAGUUGCUAGUAACCGCAGAUCAGAAUGCUGCGGUGAAUACGUUCCCGGGCCUUGUACACACCGCCCGUCACGUCAUGGAAGUUUGAAACACUUGAAGUCGCUGGGCUUACCUUUUAGGAGGCAGGCGCCGAGAGUGGGGCAAAUGACUGGGACGAAGUCGUAACAAGGUAGCUGUACCGGAAGGUGCGGCUG
Molecule: ribosomal RNA, 1122 nt
Filed under: marine metagenome
Description: bacterial SSU rRNA
Rfam family: Bacterial small subunit ribosomal RNA
Source: RNAcentral